CACUCAGCCCACAGCAGCUGCACUCUGUCUCCAACUUACACUUGAGAUCCAUGUACACAUAUAAGCCUGGUUUUCCCUGGUUUUUCCAGCACUCCCUGCCAAUUCUUCAGGGAUAAAGACGAGAAGCCAACUUCAGCUCAACAAGAAGAUUAAGAAAUUCAACAAAACAGCAUUAUACUGAAGUCACUUUUUCAGAAGAUUUUUUUGGUAUAUGGGAGAUUUUUUUCAAAUGGCAGCAAAUACAACAAGUCUUGGUAUUCAGCCUUCGGUGACUGAAGGACCAGUUUCUUCUGAAGAAGCUUCACCUCUUCCUGGCUCCACACCUGAGUUUAAAGAUAAGAAACAC
Long non-coding RNA from Boleophthalmus pectinirostris (great blue-spotted mudskipper), 346 nucleotides. RefSeq lists it as uncharacterized. NCBI's taxonomy places the organism in Eukaryota, Metazoa, Chordata, Actinopteri, Gobiiformes, Gobiidae. The record is from RefSeq and is a predicted model, not a curated record. The transcript is spliced from 3 exons.